Molecule: ribosomal RNA, 407 nt
Filed under: Janthinobacterium sp. CT18
Lineage: Bacteria; Pseudomonadati; Pseudomonadota; Betaproteobacteria; Burkholderiales; Oxalobacteraceae
Description: bacterial SSU rRNA
Rfam family: Bacterial small subunit ribosomal RNA
Source: RNAcentral
GCGGUGUCAUGGGAUCCGGAGAGAUUUGGGAGUGCCUCGAAAGGGAACCAUCACACAGGUGCUGCAUGGCUGUCGUCAGCUCGUGUCGUGAGAUGUUGGGUUAAGUCCCGCAACGAGCGCAACCCUUGUCAUUAGUUGCUACGAAAGGGCACUCUAAUGAGACUGCCGGUGACAAACCGGAGGAAGGUGGGGAUGACGUCAAGUCCUCAUGGCCCUUAUGGGUAGGGCUUCACACGUCAUACAAUGGUACAUACAGAGCGCCGCCAACCCGCGAGGGGGAGCUAAUCGCAGAAAGUGUAUCGUAGUCCGGAUUGUAGUCUGCAACUCGACUGCAUGAAGUUGGAAUCGCUAGUAAUCGCGGAUCAGCAUGUCGCGGUGAAUACGUUCCCGGGUCUUGUACACACCGA